UUGAGGAAUCAAUCUCUACAAUAACUUGUAGAGUUAUAUAAAAAUUAUAAACUUAGCAGGAUACCUGUCCAUGAGUACAUUGCAUUUGCCAUUGUGGUACAUAGGAAACAUUACCCAACCCUGGAAUAAAAUUAGCCUGUGUAUAAAUGCUUGCUCCAUCACCUGCCUGCAUGAUUCUGGAACCUGGAAACCCCUCCUUCCACAAAAUAGAAUGAGUGUUCCAAAGAGUUGAACAGAGAAGAUUGGUUUUAAAGAACUGAGGAGAGCAGUUAAAAAAUUUAAAAAGUGAAUUGGGUAUUUCCAAAGUUACUUUCCUUGUAAAGGUUAAAGCAAAGGGGACACUUCCUCAAUAGCUACAACUGGCCUGCUCAGGUUUUUGGCUAUUAUCACUCUGUCUCCUCAUUCUUUGGCAGGUCCAUGCAGUUAUGAAUUAUACAUCCAGUUAUGAAGCAGUCACUGUCCAAAUUCUCAGAGCUGAAAGUGCUAAAGAUAACUACAUGCAAGAUAAUAUGGAAGAAACUGAUUCAGUUUGACUGCCACAAAUGUUUGUUUCAAGGAAGUAACUCUAUGCUGAGACUUGAAAAAUUAGGAAGAACUUUAGUCCCUGGAAGGAUUGGGAGGAAAUGGAAUUCUAACCAGGAGGGAUAGCACAUGUUCUCCUGAUAGGGCAAGGGAGUGGUACCAAAAUAUCAAAAG
Molecule: long non-coding RNA, 696 nt
Organism: Sciurus carolinensis (gray squirrel)
Lineage: Eukaryota; Metazoa; Chordata; Mammalia; Rodentia; Sciuridae
Exons: 3
Source: RefSeq, a predicted model, not a curated record